GGAAAGAGAGGGAUUCG
Molecule: transfer RNA, 17 nt
Filed under: Nogopterium gracile
Lineage: Eukaryota; Viridiplantae; Streptophyta; Bryopsida; Hypnales; Leucodontaceae
Also listed under: 27 other names
Description: partial tRNA-Ser
Source: RNAcentral